Molecule: long non-coding RNA, 1991 nt
Organism: Sapajus apella (tufted capuchin)
Lineage: Eukaryota; Metazoa; Chordata; Mammalia; Primates; Cebidae
Exons: 2
Source: RefSeq, a predicted model, not a curated record
AGGAGAGAGAGAGAGAGAGAGAAAAAAGAAAAAAAAGAAAGAAAGAAAAAAAAAGAAAAGAAAGAAAGAAAGAUCUCUACUCUGUGACUGAGAAUGUGGCAUUAGGGGGAAAUAUGUAAUUUACAAAGUUACAUAUUACAACACACAUCCCUGCUGCUAAAUUCUGUGUGUGUGUGUGUGUGUGUGUGUGUGUGUGUGUGUGUGUGUGUAUGCUCAUGAUGGAGAGAGCUGGACAAAGGAGAGAGGCCUUGGCCAAAGGAGGUUUUUCUGGUCUCAGGUGAAUAUAUAUAUUUGUAAAUUCUCCAGCAAUUGAAACGAAUCCACUUUGUACUCGGAAAAGACUUAACCACUUUUACUUCUGUUUCAAACUGUACUUUUUUAAAAGCUAAAGACAUCCCUUAACCUGUGUGUAUGAGAAAAGUAAAAUAUAACAGGGAUAUAUGUAAAGUUCUACCAUUAAGUUAAAAAUAUUGCUGAAUACAGAGAAGGUAUUGGUAAUACCAAUUUUUAAAACUAAGGAUUUUACUGGUUACUUGGUCAUGAGAAGGAAAAAAGUGAGAAGUAUUUUUUUUUAAAUCCUGUAGCAUUUUCCUAGGACAUCAAGCCCUAGCACAGGAAGGGACAUUUUCACGCUAAUCUGUGCCAGCUGGAGCAGUCCUGCCAUCUGAUUAUCAUAUUUUGGAACACUGGGAAGCUAGGAUGCAGUUAACAGGAGACAGAACAUUCUGAAAACUUCAAGACAUGCUUAGAAGGCCCCUCAAUGUCAGUGGAAAAGGGGCUGCAGAUGUUAUCUAAGAAACCAAGUUAUCUCUGUACAACAAAAUCAUGUAUCAAAACGCAAUGGAGAGAGAGCCUGCAGAAGUGAGAGGUUCCCGGAACACUACAGGAAAUGGGACCUUGAAAUACAGAAGACAAAGUACAGGCUCAUGAAUGUCUGGACAACAUACCAGCAAGUUGAGCCUGACCAACCGCACUGACAUCCUGAUGUGUUGGCUUGACUCAAGAAGAUGGGUUCCAAGUAAUUCAGGGUCACACAGCAGAGAGAGAUGGGGAUUAGUCAAGGGUGUUCACUCGCUCACUCACCAACUAUCCCGAUUGAAUUCCCACACUACACUAGGCACUUUUUAGGGAGCUGUGUACAUUUUUCUGUGGAGGCACAGGGUUAGGACAUUAUCUCUUCCAAGGAUACAAAUUUCUCUGCGCAUUUAUUCCUUGUCUACCAAAAACCUUCUAUUUCCUCUUUUAACCUCCAUGGUUUCCUGCAAAUAGGAAGGCAGGAAGUCUAUCAUGAUGAAUGGAGCCACCAGAUAUGUGCAUUCCUUACUGUAAAAGAUCACAUAGGAAUUCUAGCUUAUAGAUUCCCCAAUGUGACCAUUCAGACUUUGGGAGCCUGAUUCAAUUUGAAAGAGUAGAUAAAAUAUAGUUUCUAGAAGUGCCAAGUUGAGGAUGAGACCCAAGACCAGGGUGUGGCCACUACCCUGUGAAUACUGGGAGGUCCCCCAGCCUCCCCUCACAUUUCUCUUAAACUUUUCAAAGUUACCUCCUGGGACCCCAGGGGUGUGAAUUCCAAGGGAUCUAACAGCUCUGAGAUUAUAGGCUGAACUUAGGCAUCAGAAUUGCUAGAGAGCGCUAUCUCAGUUCUGAGAAAUGGUUAAAACUACCCUUGGCAGUCAUAUGUGGAACCACUUAUUUCAUUACGAUGGAUAUUUUCUUGUAGGAACAAUGCAUAGUGAAAACCCAAAGGGAUAACCAACAUAAAACUGAUUUUGUUUUCUAUUUGAUAUAACAAUUGCAUUUUACUUGUUUGUUGUAUGUACGGGUGAACUUUCUUACUUUUUAAAAACAGACACCCGGAAAAUUUUAUACAUUUUUCCUAUAAUGUCCUUUAAAGCAUGAAACGUGUUUAUUAUGACAGUGUAUACAACUGGUGUUCAUGGCCAAUAACAAUUUUUUUCUCUAGGUUGAUGGUCCUUAAUAAAAGCAUUUUCUCA